This 254-nucleotide ribosomal RNA is filed under the name uncultured bacterium. RNAcentral's name for it is "partial 16S ribosomal RNA". It matches the Rfam family "Bacterial small subunit ribosomal RNA", at positions 524 to 776 of the family's 1533-position model. The record is from RNAcentral.
UACGGAGGGUGCAAGGCGUUGUUCGGAUUUAUUGGGCGUAAAGCGCGUGUAGGCGGUCUUCUAAGUCUGAUGUGAAAGCCCUGGGCUCAACCCAGGAAGUGCAUUGGAUACUGGACGACUUGAAUACGGGAGAGGGUAGUGGAAUUCCUAGUGUAGGAGUGAAAUCCGUAGAUAUUGGGAAGAACACCGAUGGCGAAGGCAGCCAUCUGGACCGACACUGACGCUGAGGCGCGAAAGCGUGGGGAGCAAGCAGG